This 273-nucleotide ribosomal RNA is filed under the name uncultured bacterium. RNAcentral describes it as "partial 16S ribosomal RNA". It matches the Rfam family "Bacterial small subunit ribosomal RNA", at positions 524 to 796 of the family's 1533-position model. The record is from RNAcentral.
UACGGGGGGGGCAAGCGUUGUUCGGAAUUACUGGGCGUAAAGGGCGCGUAGGCGGCUCUUCAAGUCAGCCGUGAAAUCUCCGGGCUUAACCUGGAGGGGUCGGUUGAUACUGUCGAGCUCGAGUGUGGAAGAGGCAACUGGAAUUCCGUGUGUAGCGGUGAAAUGCGUAGAUAUACGGAGGAACACCUGCGGCGAAGGCGGGUUGCUGGGCCAACACUGACGCUGAGGCGCGAAAGCUAGGGGAGCAAACGGGAUUAGAAACCCCAGUAGUCC